Arachis ipaensis is the source of this 406-nucleotide non-coding RNA. Lineage: Eukaryota; Viridiplantae; Streptophyta; Magnoliopsida; Fabales; Fabaceae. The record is from RefSeq and is a predicted model, not a curated record.
GGUAGGCAUAAGGGUCGGGUUCGUCCUGCUUAUGCUGAAAUGAGACUAUUGAUAAGUCACUUGCGCCUGGCAAGGAUGGUGGUUAAUCCCGCUUGUCGAGGGUGCGGCGCCCGCGCAAGGACGGUGGUUUGAUCCCGCUUGCGUGUUUCGGGCAAGGACGGUGGUUUAGUCCCGCUUGUCUAUGGGACCUACGGAUAAGGACGGUGGUUGGAUCCCGCUUAUCCUAGUCGGGUUUGGCAACAUAACCGAUAAUGCGAUAUCACAGCCAGUAGGACAGACAUUCAUCAUUUGCAUUUAUGUGACAUUGUUUGGGUGUGCAUAUUGUAAUUGGUUUGCUUAUGUGAAUACUUAUGUUAAUUGCUAACUGCUAUAUUUGUUGUAAUUGCUAUUGAUUGUGUUUAAACUA